CGAAAUGAGUGGAUCACUUGAGGCCAGGAGUUUGAGACCAGCCUGGGCAACAUAGGGAGACCCCUAUAUCUACAAAAAUGAAAAAAGUUAGCCAGGCAUAGUGAAAAAAAGGCCGGGCACAGUGGCUCACAUCUGUAAUCCCAGCACUUUGGGAGGGCAAGGCAGGCGAAUCAUCCAAGGAGAACAACAAGCUCCAUUUGAAAUAGGCAUAUCACCAAUCAACCGAGAUCAAUAGAAACAUACUGAGGAGGAAAAUGGAUCAAGGAUGACACUGAUAAAAUGGCAAAUAACGAAGCAUAAAAUGUGCAUGAAUUAUCAUCAAGCCUCAUUUCCCCGGUAUCUGUAGCCUGUAGGGCUUUCUCAAACAAAAACUGGACACAACCAGCCCUCCACCUACUCCAGACCUGCACCCACACAGCUGAAUGUGACUGGGAAAAAGCAUCAAGUUGCCACCUCCAGGCCGGGCACCAUGGCUCAUUCCUGUAAUCCCAGUGCUUUGGGAGGCUGAGUCAGGAGGAUCACUUGAGGCCAGGAAAGUUUGUGACCAGCUUGGACAACCGAGUGAGACCUCAUCUCUACAAAAAAUAAAAACUCCUUGCUGUUCCUGCACUGCCUCCUACCUGCCCCCACUCCCACCGCCAGAUGGCUCCUCCUCAGGACAUCCGCACUUUCUGUUCCCACUCCCGGAAUGCUCUUCCAUCAUUGACUCUUCUUUGGUUUCCCAUCAAUCACUCUCCUCUGGUUUCCCAUCACUCACUCUCCUCUCUUAUGUUUUUUCUCAAAUAUCACCUUUUCAGAGAGAUUCUCAGAUUUAUACAAAUGUCAGCUCCCCUGUUCCCCACAUGGCCUGUUGUCCUUUCCAGAUCUGCUUUUUACCAUAGUAUAUUUCAUCUUCUACCAUAGUCUCGAUCAGGACCAUCCACAGAACUUUCUGCCAUGAUGGAAAUGAUCACUCCGUACUGUCCAACAUGGUAGCCACUAGCUACAUGUGUCUACUAGGCACUUGAAAAUGGCUAACACAAUAAGAUAACUUUUACUGUUAUUUAAUUUUAAUGAAUUUAAGUUCAGUUUAAAUAACCAUAUGUAGUUCAGGGCUACUGUGUUGGACAUAGUAGGUCUAUCACUGAUUUCUCCCCUUGCUAGUUUAUUCAGAGGUUGAUUGUUUGCACAUUUGAUCUUCCCGAAAGUAAUACCCAUGAUUGACUUAUCCCCAUCACCAGCAUGCACCCUCCAUGAGGGCAGAUGUUUUUCCUGCACCUAACACAUAGUAGGUGUUCAGUAAGUGAGUCAAUGCCCUUUACCUCAAGUUUAUCAUUUUAAGAGCAAGAGUGUUUUCAUUCUAAACAUUUUCAGAAAUUAUUCUAAGCUCUGCAGAAUCUGUCCUUAUUUUAACUUAGUACCAGAAUGUAUUGUUUGCUUGCAAUUUCAAUGUUGCUCUUCUGUACAUAACUUGUUAUGUUGUAAUAAAUUGUGU
Long non-coding RNA from Pongo pygmaeus (Bornean orangutan), 1474 nucleotides. RefSeq lists it as uncharacterized. The transcript is spliced from 4 exons. NCBI's taxonomy places the organism in Eukaryota, Metazoa, Chordata, Mammalia, Primates, Hominidae. The record is from RefSeq and is a predicted model, not a curated record.